Macaca mulatta (Rhesus monkey) is the source of this 1205-nucleotide non-coding RNA. The record is from RefSeq and is a predicted model, not a curated record. NCBI's taxonomy places the organism in Eukaryota, Metazoa, Chordata, Mammalia, Primates, Cercopithecidae.
AGUAUGAGCAUGCUCCUCCCACAAUGAUAUCAGUGGAGAUCACCGGGAGUCAGAACCCUCUUUCCAGCAGUAACAGGAAUACACACUGCUCUAGUCCUUCAAUAGGCCCAUCACAGCGUUUUGACUGCAACCUGUCACAUGAGGUCAGGUUCAAGAGCCUUAACCAGAUUGUCCCAUGAAAUAUAAAAUGAGUGUUUUCGGUUGGUUUUUUUCCAAGAUGGUGGAUUAGCGGCUUUCAGCAUGCCUCGGACCCUUGGAAAUGGCAAGAUAGUACAUAAAGAUCAACUCUGUGAGUUUUAAUUCAAGGAGGAAAAUGGAAAUCUACUGGAAUCAUAAAGGACAACCCAGAACCCAGGGAGGAGAAUGCCAGAAAACAGCCCCCAUGAUAGCAUCCAGCUGACAAAGGCUUUUAAAAUUCACAAAGAAAGACAACAAUUAAGGAGAGAAAGAAGUUGACUCCAAAAAUAAAUUUGUAACGAAGAUUGACAUCAAUCAUUAUCACAGGGAAAUACAUCUUCACAGCAGAUAGGAGCAAAAUACGACUUGAAUAGUUCUAUUCUCAUCAAGACUAUUUGUAAGAAAUAGGCACCGGAGAUCGAGCUGAAGAAAAAAGAUUUACUUGAAACUCCAGGAUAGCGACAAUACUGAUGGCACCUUAUGGGGUUUGGUUUGGAAUUGGAGGUUGCUAUGGAGAGCUCAGCAGCUGUCUAGGGAGUGCUCUAGUGCUCUUUCCCUUAAAGUGAUUCAAUUACUUUCUAUAUUUCUUUGUUUCUGUUUCAUUAGUAAGAAGAGCUUCCCUCUGUGCCAUUUAAUUCAAAUUCAUUAGAGAGGGGCUAAGACUGGCCCAUUUGCCAAGCCACACCAUACAAGUCCAAGGUUGCUGAGAAGAUUGUGGAUUAACUACUUAUAGAUCAGCUGUCCAGGCAUGGUCCAUUUAGCUGUGGGACAGAUAGGGCCCUGUCCUGUGAUAUGGAAUAAAGGCCUUCAAGGCAACUGAGAUGCAUGAGUCAAUGAAUGAAUAAAUAUCAAAGCAAUUUGGACAGGGCAGGCAAUAACAGGGAUCUCUAUAACAUCUGCUUUCUCUCCAUCAGCAAGCGGCAUUUUAUAAGAGCCUGUUUCCCCUGGAUCUCUCUUAUACUCAAUAUGUAAUCUGAAAAAUCCUUUCUGUGGCCUGCAUUUCUUUGCAAGACUCAGUUCAUUUGGAA